This 21-nucleotide small RNA is filed under the name Arabidopsis thaliana (thale cress). RNAcentral's name for it is "ATSL013520". The record is from RNAcentral. Lineage: Eukaryota; Viridiplantae; Streptophyta; Magnoliopsida; Brassicales; Brassicaceae.
GAUAUUCAGGCCUCUUCUUUA